Molecule: long non-coding RNA, 1013 nt
Organism: Canis lupus familiaris (dog)
Lineage: Eukaryota; Metazoa; Chordata; Mammalia; Carnivora; Canidae
Exons: 3
Source: RefSeq, a predicted model, not a curated record
CGCUAUUACCAUAUUUCCGGGGCGGGAGAGCGGCCGGCUUUGUGUAGGGAAGGAUGCUGCCGGGUCCCUUUGGCAACUUCCUGGCUUCUCCGCCCCUCAGCGGCAUUGCACGUACCUCCUUCAGCUACUAUCUCUAGCUCUCCUCACACAAGAGCGGUGGAAAGGAUUAAUUUUCCUUCCCAAAUGUGGCGCUCAGUUUCUGUGGCCGCUAGGUGGCAGUAGUGUGCCGUGUCGCCUUUGGGAGGACCUCCGCCCCCGCCCUUCGUGCUUGAAAAAAGAGGCAGCAGCCGUCUUCUCGAAAAUGGGGCUUUCCGUUGCGCCUGCGCGAGGUAUUUUACCACCACGGGAGUGAGAAAAAAAGCAUCUUUCAUUGAAGGCGACUUGGCAUAGAGUUUGCUUUAAAUCAGUAAUUGCCCAAAUGGAUCCAAAUGAAAUGCAGGUAUCAAGUAGGCCUUGAAGGAACAGCAUUGUUCACAGAAAGAGAGCGAGUUGGAGACCAGUGCUUUCUCUUCUGUCCUGGAGCUGGGCUGUUGCCAGAGCUGAGUGACCCAGUGGGGAGCAGCAGAGGAGUGUUGCCAGACAAUGCACUCCCACACCCCCUCCAGCACACAGGCCCUUCUCCUCCCUCUCCCUGCUUGCUGGGAUCUCCCCUGAGGAUGGGAAUGUGCUCUGGCUAGCAGGGAAGGGAUAGAUGUGUGGUAGAGGAUGCAGGGAGACAGGUGGGAUCUUAGGAUGUCUGCAGAAGGGACUGGGGGAGGGACCAGAGUCCCACAGAAGGCACUCUGUACAGCACUGAGGUCCCAGGAGAUGAUGAAGGCUCUGAAAGUAGAGUGGCCCUAAAUGUGGUUCUGUGAUUUUUCUCCAGCACUGCACAGUGCUACACCAUUUUCGGAAGCUAAGCUUCCUGGCUCAGGCUCUGGAAAACCGGGCCUGUGUUGUCAGGGGAGAAAGAGCCUGGCAUCGCCCUGGAGGCAAUGACAGCCUUGAGAAGGCCCUGCUCCCCCCAGCGACAG